Neofelis nebulosa (Clouded leopard) is the source of this 534-nucleotide long non-coding RNA. RefSeq lists it as uncharacterized. The record is from RefSeq and is a predicted model, not a curated record. The transcript has 2 exons. Lineage: Eukaryota; Metazoa; Chordata; Mammalia; Carnivora; Felidae.
CUUGCAGGGUUUGUAUUUUGGCUCCAACCCUCACCAGCUAGAUACGUUAUAUCAUCUUUUCUCAUUUCUAUGGGUUCAUCCAGAGAAUGGGAGAAUGCAUUUUAUCUAUAUCAUAGCUUAUCGUGAGGAUCAAAUAAGUUAGUAGUAUAAGAAAGGGUAGUGAGUGCUAUGAGGAUUUGCUGGUAUUGUUUGGAUGGGUUACAUCAGUUAUGCAAAUUAGGUCAGUCCUGUAUAUUAGCUCUGUACAAAAUGAAAAAAGGCAAAGUAUAUAAAUAAAAUAGGUUGGGCAUAAUUGAUGUAUUUUCUUAAGGUCUAAUAUAAUGUUCAUGUAAAUGAUACUACUACAGGCUUUUUUAAAUUGCCAUUCUCAAUUUCAUGACUGUUAGUGUGCGGGAUUGAGUCCUGUGAGUUGACAAAUUAUUUUUAAGGUGAUGAAGGUACAUCUGUACGCUGAGCAUUUUUAGGUGGGCAUGAAUAAUCUUUUAGUGAUCUUGCUUGUCACUGUAUCUGCAACAUAUAUCUGGUUUUUAUAUA